CCUACGUGAGGCAGCAGUGAGGAAUAUUGGUCAAUGGUCGCAAGCCUGAACCAGCCCAGUAGCGUGAAGGAUGACUGCCCUACGGGUUGUAAACUUCUUUUAUAAAGGAAUCAAGUGAGGCACGUGUGCCUUUUUGUAUGUACUUUAUGAAUAAGGAUCGGCUAACUCCGUGCCAGCAGCCGCUGUAAUACGGAGGAUCCGGGCGUUAUCCGGAUUUAUUGGGUUUAAAGGGAGCGUAGAUGGGUUGUUAAGUCAGUUGUGACCGUUUGCGGCUCAACCGUAAAAUUGCAAUUGAUACUGGCAGUCUUGAGUACAGUUGAGGUAGGCGGAAUUCGUGGUGUAGCGGUGAAAUGCUUAGAUAUCACGAAGAACUCCGAUUGCGAAGGCAGCUUACUAAACUGCCACUGACAUUGAUGCUCGAAAGUGUGGGUAUCAAACAGGAUUAGAUACCCGGGUAGUC
RNAcentral lists this ribosomal RNA (460 nucleotides) under uncultured bacterium. RNAcentral describes it as "partial 16S ribosomal RNA". It matches the Rfam family "Bacterial small subunit ribosomal RNA", at positions 338 to 795 of the family's 1533-position model. The record is from RNAcentral.